UACGUAGGGGGCAAGCGUUAUCCGGAUUUACUGGGUGUAAAGGGAGCGUAGACGGCUGUGCAAGCCAGAUGUGAAAGCCCGGGGCUCAACCCCGGGACUGCAUUUGGAACUGUGUGGCUGGAGUGUCGGAGAGGCAGGCGGAAUUCCUAGUGUAGCGGUGAAAUGCGUAGAUAUUAGGAGGAACACCGGUGGCGAAAGCGGCUCUCUGGCCUGUAACUGACACUGAGGCUCGAAAGCAUGGGGAGCAAACAGG
Molecule: ribosomal RNA, 253 nt
Filed under: uncultured bacterium
Lineage: Bacteria
Description: partial 16S ribosomal RNA
Rfam family: Bacterial small subunit ribosomal RNA
Source: RNAcentral